AUUGAACGCUGGCGGAAUGCUUUACACAUGCAAGUCGAACGGUAGAGGGGGCAACCCCUCGAGAGUGGCGAACGGGUGAGUAAUAUAUCGGAACGUGCCCAGUCGUGGGGGAUAACGUAGCGAAAGUUACGCUAAUACCGCAUACGAUCGAAGGAGGAAAGCGGGGGAUCGCAAGACCUCGCGCGAUUGGAGCGGCCGAUAUCAGAUUAGGUAGUUGGUGGGGUAAAGGCUCACCAAGCCAACGAUCUGUAGCUGGUCUGAGAGGACGACCAGCCACACUGGAACUGAGACACGGUCCAGACUCCUACGGGAGGCAGCAGUGGGGAAUUUUGGACAAUGGACGCAAGUCUGAUCCAGCCAUUCCGCGUGCAGGAUGAAGGCCCUCGGGUUGUAAACUGCUUUUGUACGGAACGAAAAGGUCUCUCUUAAUACGGGGGACUCAUGACGGUACCGUAAGAAUAAGCACCGGCUAACUACGUGCCAGCCGCCGCAGUAA
Molecule: ribosomal RNA, 496 nt
Filed under: uncultured bacterium
Lineage: Bacteria
Description: partial 16S ribosomal RNA
Rfam family: Bacterial small subunit ribosomal RNA
Source: RNAcentral